GAGGAAAAGAAACCAACAGGGAUUGCCUUAGUAACGGCGAGUGAAGCGGCAAAAGCUCAAAUUUGAAAUCUGGCACUUUCAGUGUCCGAGUUGUAAUUUGAAGAAGGUAACUUUGGAGUUGGCCCUUGUCUAUGUUCCUUGGAACAGGACGUCACAGAGGGUGAGAAUCCCGUGCGAUGAGGUGUCCAAUUCUAUGUAAAGUGCUUUCGAAGAGUCGAGUUGUUUGGGAAUGCAGCUCUAAGUGGGUGGUAAAUUCCAUCUAAAGCUAAAUAUUGGCGAGAGACCGAUAGCGAACAAGUACAGUGAUGGAAAGAUGAAAAGAACUUUGAAAAGAGAGUGAAAAAGUACGUGAAAUUGUUGAAAGGGAAGGGCUUGAGAUCAGACUCGGUAUUUUGCAAGCCUAUCCUUCGUGGAGAGGUUUAUUAGCAGCUUACCGGGCCAGCAUCGGUUUGGAUGGUAGGAUAAUGGCAUUGGAAUGUGGCUCUUCGGAGUGUUAUAGCCUUUGUUGAUACUGCCUAUCUAGACCGAGGACUGCGUCUUUGACUAGGAUGCUGGCGUAAUGAUCUUAAGCCGCCCGUCUUGAAACCACGGAC
Molecule: ribosomal RNA, 593 nt
Rfam family: Eukaryotic large subunit ribosomal RNA